GCCUGGUGGUUCCUUAAGGCGGCUCAUCCGUGCUGGACCUUGAGGUUAUGAUAAACAGGCAAACAUUGAUCUCUGCGAUUUAAUGCGUGGAAGUUGAUGUUUUCUAUGCACCUUCCACAGCCCGGUUGCAGAAACACGG
Molecule: small nucleolar RNA, 139 nt
Organism: Misgurnus anguillicaudatus (oriental weatherfish)
Lineage: Eukaryota; Metazoa; Chordata; Actinopteri; Cypriniformes; Cobitidae
Product: small nucleolar RNA SNORA84
Source: RefSeq, a predicted model, not a curated record